AUUGAACGCUGGCGGCAGGCUUAACACAUGCAAGUCGAACGAGUGGCGAACGGGUGAGUAACGCAUCGGAACGUACCGAGUACUGGGGGAUAACUGUCCGAAAGGACAGCUAAUACCGCAUAUUAUACGAGCGGCCGAUGUCUGAUUAGCUGGUUGGCGGGGUAAAGGCCCACCAAGGCGACGAUCAGUAGCGGGUCUGAGAGGAUGAUCCGCCACACUGGGACUGAGAAACGGCCCCGACACCUACGGGAGGCAGAAGUGGGGAAUUUUUGACAAUGGGCGCAAGCCUGAUCCAGCCAUGCCGCGUGUCUGAAGAAGGCCUUCGGGUUUUAAAGCACUUUUGUCAGGGAAGCGGUACCUGAAGAAUAAGCACCGGCUAACUACGUGCCAGCAGCCGCGGUAAUUC
Molecule: ribosomal RNA, 406 nt
Filed under: uncultured bacterium
Lineage: Bacteria
Description: partial 16S ribosomal RNA
Rfam family: Bacterial small subunit ribosomal RNA
Source: RNAcentral